GACGAACGCUGGCGGCGUGCUUAACACAUGCAAGUCGAACGGAACGUUCCUGCUUUUUUGGGGUGCUGUAGUUGCGACCGGGGGAGUAACACGUGAGUACCCUGCCAUUGACUUUGGUAUCACCUCAUGAAACUGGGGCUCAUCGCGCCUAAGAUUUCUCGCUGCGUGGUGGGCGUUGGAAAGUUUCGGUGGUUGGUGAUGUACUGGCGUCGUAUCAGCUUGUUGGUUGGGUAGUGGAUUACCAAGGCUUGGCGGGGUAGCCGGCCUGAGAGGAGGACCGGCCACAUCAGGACUGGGAUAAGGCCCAGCCUCCAACGGGAGGCAGCGGUGGAGAGUAUUGCACAAGGGGCGGAAGCCUGAUGCAGCAACGCCGCGUGCGGGAUGAGGGCAUUCGGGUAGUAAACCGCUUUCGUCUGACACGAAGCGUUAGUGACGGUAAUGGGUAAAGAAGCACCGGCUAACUCCGUG
RNAcentral lists this ribosomal RNA (468 nucleotides) under uncultured bacterium. RNAcentral describes it as "partial 16S ribosomal RNA". It matches the Rfam family "Bacterial small subunit ribosomal RNA", at positions 28 to 507 of the family's 1533-position model. The record is from RNAcentral.